This 253-nucleotide ribosomal RNA is filed under the name uncultured bacterium. RNAcentral's name for it is "partial 16S ribosomal RNA". It matches the Rfam family "Bacterial small subunit ribosomal RNA", at positions 524 to 776 of the family's 1533-position model. The record is from RNAcentral.
UACGUAGGGUGCAAGCGUUGUCCGGAAUUAUUGGGCGUAAAGCGCACGUAGGCGGCUUAGCAAGUCGGAAGUGAAAUCCCACGGCUCAACCAUGGAAGUGCUUUCGAAACUGCUGAGCUUGAGUACUUAAGAGGAUCGCGGAAUUCCCGGUGUAGAGGUGAAAUUCGUAGAUAUCGGGAGGAACACCAGUGGCGAAGGCGGCGAUCUGGGAAGAUACUGACGCUGAGGUGCGAAAGCGUGGGGAGCAAACAGG